GACGAACGCUGGCGGCGUGCCUAAUACAUGCAAGUCGAACGAAGCUGUUUUAACUGGUGCUUGCACCGACUUAAACAACUGAGUGGCGAACGGGUGAGUAACACGUGGGUAACCUGCCCCAAAGCGGGGGAUAACAUUUGGAAACAGAUGCUAAUACCGCAUAACCACAGAAACCACAUGGUUUCUGUGUCAAAGAUGGUUUCGGCUAUCACUUUGGGAUGGACCCGCGGCGUAUUAGCUAGUUGGUAAGGUAAUGGCUUACCAAGGCAAUGAUACGUAGCCGAACUGAGAGGUUGAUCGGCCACAGUGGGACUGAGAAACGGCCCAAACUCCUACGGGAGGCAGCAGUAGGGAAUCUUCCACAAUGGACGAAAGUCUGAUGGAGCAACGCCGCGUGAGUGAAGAAGGUUUUCGGAUCGUAAAACUCUGUUGUCAGAGAAGAACGUGUGCGAGAGUAACUGUUCGUGCAGUGACGGUAUCUGGCCAGAAAGCCACGGCUAACUACGUGCCAGCCGCCGCCGUAA
Molecule: ribosomal RNA, 524 nt
Filed under: uncultured bacterium
Lineage: Bacteria
Description: partial 16S ribosomal RNA
Rfam family: Bacterial small subunit ribosomal RNA
Source: RNAcentral